GCAUCAUUGGUCCAAUGGUAGAAUGGGCGCUUGCCAAGCGUUCGACCCGGGUUCGAUUCCCGGAUGAUGCA
Molecule: transfer RNA, 71 nt
Organism: Edhazardia aedis
Lineage: Eukaryota; Fungi; Microsporidia; Culicosporidae
Rfam family: tRNA
About the family: Transfer RNA (tRNA) molecules are approximately 80 nucleotides in length. Their secondary structure includes four short double-helical elements and three loops (D, anti-codon, and T loops).
Source: Rfam